Molecule: ribosomal RNA, 253 nt
Filed under: uncultured bacterium
Lineage: Bacteria
Description: partial 16S ribosomal RNA
Rfam family: Bacterial small subunit ribosomal RNA
Source: RNAcentral
UACGUAGGGUGCAAGCGUUGUCCGGAAUUAUUGGGCGUAAAGAGCUCGUAGGCGGUCUGUCGCGUCGGCUGUGAAAACCCGGGGCUCAACCCCGGGCCUGCAGUCGAUACGGGCAGGCUAGAGUGCGGUAGGGGAGACUGGAAUUCCUGGUGUAGCGGUGAAAUGCGCAGAUAUCAGGAGGAACACCGGUGGCGAAGGCGGGUCUCUGGGCCGUAACUGACGCUGAGGAGCGAAAGCGUGGGGAGCGAACAGG